RNA transcript from Bombyx mori (domestic silkworm), 8183 nucleotides. It is a transcript of the gene named insulin-like growth factor 2 mRNA-binding protein 1, with no coding region annotated. The record is from RefSeq and is a predicted model, not a curated record. The transcript is spliced from 9 exons. Lineage: Eukaryota; Metazoa; Arthropoda; Insecta; Lepidoptera; Bombycidae.
AAUUAAUUCUAUUUAUAAUAGUUAAUAGAGUAAUAUCACGACAGAACAAUUUAAUUUAUUUAAUGAUAAUAUAUUUUAUUCCCCAAAAUAGUAAAAAUAGUCAUGUCGUCGCAGCCGUAUGUAACAUAACUCGAUAAACACGCAAUAAAAUCGAGCCUGACUAAAACUAAUCAUUUUUUAAUCCUGGUGAUCUUGUUCAGGAUAUUAGUACAAAGUAAUCAAAUUAUUGUCGUCGCGUCAGAUGAAAAUUGAAAAAUUAUUUCUUAUAUAUAGACAUAGUUCAAAUUAAUAAAGUGCGCUGAUUAAUAUUAUUAUUUGAUAAAGCGACAGCUGCGGUUUUAUUAAAACAUAUAGGUCCUAAGCAUUAAAUAAACUUCGAAACUAAUACAUACUGAUUCGAAAUGAUUAUUGAAAUUAAUAUUGUAAAGUAAAUCUUUUUACAUUCGACAAGUUCAAAAUCGAUAGUUGGCGCUUCACUAAGGUGUGGCAGGCUCUCCCCGCGGGCCCCAGCUCAGCCACGCCCAGCGCGCGCAUUCUCAAACAAAAUCCACACGAAAUGGUUGUACGAAGAAUCGAAUAGAGUCGGCGCCGCUCCUUCGUUACAGUGACGCACGUCACAUCAGCUAGGCAGCUCAGUUGGGUAGUGAUCUCGAUAGCUGACGAACCUUACGCACGCCGUGCACACGUGCCAUACGCGUCUGUAUCCCUUCUCCGCAACGAUUCCGCAGUCCGUCGUUCUGUAAUCGGUAAAACCGUCCAUCGACGCCGUUUGCACUCGGUGCCGUUCCAUUCAUUACCUCUAUUUGAUAUCAGAAAAUUAUAAUGCUGAAUUAAAAACACUAUAUUCGUGCUUACCGGCCCACGUGUGGUUUCUAGAUGUUUGUUAAUAUUGUCAAAUUUUAAAGUUCAGGCCGAUUUUUCUGAUUGUAAGCGUGAUUUUUUUUUAUCUUGCGUGUCAAACGCAAGCCGGAUUUAAUUUUAAACGCGGUACUCAAAAGCCUUCAAAAUUUAUUCAAGUGUGAUAAUGUCUAAUCCAAUGGAGCAACAGUUCGAGCUUAAUUUAUCACAAGAGGACCAUGAUCAAAUAUUUGAACAAGACGAUCUCCACGAUCAAAGAUCCUCAAAGGUACUCAUCAGUGGGCUACCUCUGCAUAUCCGCUUCGAUAACAUCGAGCCACUGCUCUCACAGUAUGGCAACGUGCAGCAUUGCGACAAAGCCAACACCCGCGAUCCCAACACCCAAGCGGUGUUCAUCACCUUCGAGAGUCCAGAGCAGGCGCAGCAAGCCAUAAACGGGUUGAAUGGAUGUGAAUUGGAGGGUUGUCGUAUAAAAGUGGAGGCAGCAGAGCAGAAUGCUCGUGGAGGUCGUCGCGGUCGCCCUGGUGGCGGCCGUGGUGGAGGCGGCGCUGCUGGCGGUGGCUCGCGCCCCACCGACUUCCCACUGCGUCUGCUGGUGCAGAGCGACAUGGUCGGCGCUAUCAUCGGUCGCCAGGGCAGUACCAUUCGACUCAUCACCCAGCAGAGUCGUGCUCGCGUUGACGUACACAGGAAGGAUAAUGUCGGCUCCCUGGAAAAAGCAAUUACCAUCUAUGGGAAUCCCGAGAAUUGCACCAAUGCCUGCAAGAGAAUCCUUGAAGUAAUGCAGCAGGAGGCCAAUAAUACUAAUAAAGGCGAAAUAUGCCUGAAGAUUUUGGCCCAUAAUAAUCUCAUUGGACGCAUCAUCGGCAAAGGCGGCAACACCAUCAAGAGAAUUAUGCAAGAGACCGAUACAAAGAUCACUGUCUCCUCUAUAAAUGAUAUCAAUAGCUUCAAUUUGGAGAGAAUCAUAACCGUUAAGGGCUCCAUCGAGAACAUGGCCAAGGCGGAAUCGCAAAUUUCAGCCAAAUUGCGUCAAAGCUACGAAAAUGAUUUGCAGGUGCUGGCGCCGCAAAGCAUUAUGUUCCCUGGGUUGCACCCAAUGGCUAUGAUGUCGACUGGACGUGGUUUCUGUGGAGCUCCGCCACCGUUCCAGCCGCCGAUGUAUGCGCCGCUGGCCGGCCCUGGGGCACAGCAGGGUGCCGGUGACUCGCAGGAAACAACCUAUCUGUACAUCCCAAACAACGCUGUGGGCGCGAUUAUCGGUACAAAGGGCUCGCACAUUCGCAACAUUAUUAGAUUCAGCAAUGCUUCUGUUAAGAUUGCGCCUUUGGAACAAGAAAAGCAACAGGAACCGCAGAACCCACAGCAAGAGCGCAAGGUUACCAUUGUCGGUAGUCCUGAGGCGCAAUGGAAGGCGCAGUAUCUUAUCUUUGAAAAGAUGCGGGAAGAAGGUUUUAUGUCUGGAUCGGAUGACGUGCGGCUGAUUGUGGAAAUUGUCGUGGCCUCGUCGCAAGUGGGUCGGAUCAUCGGCAAAGGCGGACAGAACGUGAGGGAGCUUCAGCGCGUGACCGGCUCGCUGAUCAAGCUACCCGAGCAGCAGCAGCAGCCCGGCUCGCAGGGACAAGAGCACGAGACCACCGUUCACAUUGUGGGCCCCUUUUAUAGCGUCCAGCAAUCGUCUGAGGCGGGAUGAGAACGUUUCCGAGAGGCACCCCACCCCCCCUUACACAAAUUCGCACGUAGUGCCACUGUUGAAAAUGGCCCGAUACGAUGACUAUGUAUCGUGUUCUUUUUAAACAUUGAACAAAAUACUAGUCUGCGCAGCGACGCAUCCGUGCCAUGGUGGCGCAGGCGAGCGCGCCGGGACGCCGCCGCGCCGCGCAGCCCCCGCCCGUGCAGCAGUAGGCAGACAAGUCCGCGUCCCCACCCCCACCCCCCCAACCCUCCCCGCGCGCUCUUACAAACCCCACCCCUCUAAACCCUGCCCCCGCCCCCCCUAACCGCGGCCAGCCUCCGCAUUACCUACAGCCUAAUUACACACCUUUUUUUUCGCAUUAACCAAUUAAGCAGCCUUACAGUCACUCUGAGUAACUGAUGACAUAGUAAGCAUACUUUAAUGCACCCCAAAAAGGACAUCAGUAAAAAUGGUAACGAUGAUAGUUACCCAGAUUGACUGAAUACGCAUUCAGAAUAAAUCAGCCCUUGAAAUGUGUAUGUAUUACACAAUUUUUAAAUUAUCGUUGAAUUACAUAUGAGCUGUCAUAUAAUAAGGUGUGCUUAAACUGCUUUAUGUGAAAUUGAUUUUGCACGACUUUGGAUAAUGUAAUUAAUUUCUGAUUAAUUAGCAAUUUGAAAAGCAUAUUCGUUUUGAUUAAAAUUUACAUUAUUAUAAUGAAGUAAUACUUAUGUAAAUAAAUGUCUUAAAAAUACAUUAUCAUAAGCUGUCUGAUAUCAAAAUUUAAAAUGGAUACGUGCCAUGUACUGUAUCUGUACGUUUUCGAACAUAGUUUUUGUGUUAGGCUCGUAAUGUUAUUGUACACGCUUUCUAUCUUAUACAAUUGUGUAUGUCUCACGGUGGCUCGUCUAUGUAGUCGUUUGGGUUUAGUACGCAACAUGUCCAAUGACCGAUGGAUUAUAUAUCAUAAGUAAAACUGCACAAAACUGAACUUACUGUUAACACGUACGUUCUUUUAUUACAUUACGCAGACGAGAAUGCUUUUAGUUACUUAAAUAUACAUUUUAUAUACAAAAAAAAAUAAUCACAGAUAGUACAAAAUAAUAACAAUGUAUGUGAAUGUAACUCCAAUGGUAAUUGUUGGAAUGUUGGAGUGCUAAUGAGUGUCGAGUGAAGCCAACUGUGUUUGUGAACUGGUGUUCGCAGAGUAUGUACUAAAAUUCGGAUUAUGCGCAGGAAGGCUGUUGUGUUGGUGUAUUUCCAUUUGAUGUUGUUGUUGUCGUAAUUAUAUAUUAAUGUAGUAAAUUAUAAUUAAAUACUUAUUGAUGGAUCCAUAUUUUACCCGGGGAUUAUCUAUGUUGAUGAUUACUAAUUGAAUAUAUAUAAAACUACAAACUAUACUAUUCAUAUACACUAUUUUUAACGAUAAUUGUUAUAUUGUUUUUCAUGCUGUUACACAACUACACGAUAUAAAGUUAUCACAGAUUGCAAUAGUCUAAUAUUAUGUUCUAUUUACUAUACAUAUGUUAGUAGGGAUAUAUCUAUAUAGCACCACCACAUUAUUAUACAAUCGAGAAGUUCAUAUUAUGUUUUGUUAUCACUUCAUAGAUUAAUCUGUUAAGUCACUGCAGAACUGUUAUAAAAUAUUAUUUGAAGGGUGUGUGGGAAGAUAAUUAACAACAAGGAACACGGAUAUAGCACGACAUCGCUUUAACUGGAGGCUCAACGGACUAACGGAUGCUUUGCACGUAUAGUUUAGGAAUGCAUUUCUUGAAACGAUUCACUGAUUUCUGCAUGCCAGUGGUAUAAGACGUCGCGUCGCAUCGCAUCGCAUGCACUGUGUGACACGAUGCGAAGGAUGACGUGCGUCGCGGGUGUUAGUAACUAUUCCAAAGAGUGAAAGAUAGAAGGGUCGUAUAACGGAGACGAUAAGGGCGAUCAAAAGUCACCUCGCCUAGACAAGGAGCGGGCGAGUUCGUCUCUGCCCGCCCCUAUAUACACGGAGAUGAUAUUCAUCCACCUCUCUGAUGGAUGUAAAUAUUUUUGAUAUGGUAGUAAUUGUUGGGAAUUAAGGAGUAAUCUUAUGAUUUUAAUUUGUAAGUGGUAUUUGUUGAUCGUUUUCUUUGUAAUUUUGUCUUUGUUAGCUUUAUAAUGUUUUCUUAUAUUGACAGUAAAUGAACAUUUUGAAAAUAGGAUUACUUUAGCGUUUAAAUGGUGCGAAUGUCAACGUCGUAUUGUUUGGUUUUGUCGUGAUGUUUAAUUCAAUUGUACGAUUUUUGCGUUAUAAUUGUGCCAAGUGAGAUAUUUAAUGAGAAUUUAAGAUUAAGUGGAUAAUAUCAAAAUUUAAUGGAAAAGCUUAGAUAUUUAUAUUAUAAUUGUGAUAAUAUAUGGAAAUUUGGCAAAAAUGUAACUAAGAGUAUCUACAUUCUUAUUCCAUUUUCUCAGUUUUAGGUUAGAAUAAAAGGUAUGUGGUAAGUGCAGUAGUAGAAGCGGACAGUCCGAGCCGCGCUCUGUCGCAUUUAUCUCUCUCUCUUGCCGAUAUAUAAUCCUUUACUUCUUUGUCUAUUGCAUUUCCCAAAUGCAUUAAAAUAAUUCUCAAUUCAUUGGACACAAGAAUACGUGAAAGCUCUGAACGUAUUUGGAGGUUUUAGGUUGUUUAGUUUACUGUGAAAGAAGAAAUCAUUAAAUUUGCCGUUUAAAACAUUUAUUGUCCUAAAAAAACUCGAAGUUGCUUGCUUCCACAUAUUAUUGAAAAAAAAUAAUCAAACUCGACAAUUAACCUUUGCAACUUAAUCAAACAAACUAUUGUAAUGAUGUGAUUCUCUGAAGAAUAAUUUACAAAAGAGUCUUAAAAAGAUUUUGUCAACAAUCGUUAUCAUUUGUUCACUUGUUCGAAUGUCUAUUGUAUUUCCUACAUAUAAAUAAAUAUCUUAAGUAAGUCCGUAUUGGGCACUACCACGACGAUGAAAUGAAAACUUUUUGUAUUUGAUCUCAUUGCGUGGUGCGUGGAAUGUGUAACUAUGAUAUUUUUAGGGCGCGCUGAUUGACUCGCUGAUUUCAAUAUUUUGUUUGCCAGUUAGCCUUCUUAUUGUUUGUUAAUUUCAAUCGUAGAACGAAUGUAGCGUGUGUCACUGACUCCUAAACUAUCCAUACAUUGAAAAUACGCAAUGAAUCCCCCGUAAAGUGGUCGUCCAGAUAAAUUGUGAACGUAUGGAAGAUUAAAUUUCCAACUAAUUGUAUGACUAUGUACUUUAACAAUAACAAAAGACGUGUAUUUCUUAUUAAUUUUCUGUUAAUGAUGCUUAACAAUAAUCUAGAGAUAUAAUUGAUACUUUUGUUUCAAAUUUGACUGACGGCUACUUCACUGUUUUCAUAACAAAAAUAAAACAAUUCUUUUUUUUUUUUCGCCACAAUUCUAACGUGGUAUUGUCGUUUAAAUUGUAACAAAAUAAAUAUAGAAAUGCGACAGUUACUUAUUAUAUUAAAAUUGUAACAUAUCAGUUAGAACAAUCUACAAAUGCCUCUCAAUGCUAGGUAGGACACGGUAAGACAAUUACUCCGAACAGACUGUAUUGUACAUUUUGUACUUACAAAAAUCUAGUAUAGUCUUAUUCAAUUGCUACAAUGAAGUCCCAAGACUGAUGUGAAAUUCCUAUUCUAAUUUAUAAACCUACUUGACGUACACUUUUAGUGUAUGUUUGGAAAAUACCCUUGACAAUAUUUAUACAAAUAGCAAAACACUAAUUUAUAUUGCAAAGCGUGCGUCGGGUUAUCAGGGAAGAAAUCUGGUGUUUUUACAGGCUAAAGUUUUCGAUGUUUAUCCAACUGCGCUUUUCUAAAUAUUUUUUCAAAUCUAUUUAACUGGGAUCCUGCAUAUAUUACCAGCGAAAACAUUCCAAAUGUAGCGACAUCCCUUCGCAGAAGAAUGUUCAUUGAUUGAACCUUUGCCUGUGCAAACAUGCACGCAAUAAAAUUGACGCACUGAAUAUGACAUUAUUUAGUAAGAAAUUAAAACGUAAAAACCUCGCUUUCCGCAGAAUGAAGUGCUUACUGACGUGUAGGUACGUCGUCCAGAUAUUUCAGAUUAUUGCCACUUGUCAUGGACAAAACGGUGUGGAAUCUAGAUUCAUUUAAAUAUCUCUUUAAAUUUUUCCUCUAGGUCCGAUUAAUCUGAGUCACAUAAUUGCAACAAUGCGUGUUUGCAAUAAUUAAAGAAUUUUUGCUUGCGUUCUGCGGAAAGUGCAAAAUUGUAUCACCACUUAUGUACACUUAGAUAUAUUGACGAUUUAUUUGUCGGUGUGCUUUACUAGCUGUUGUUGAAUAUUUUUCGUUUUUACUGGAGUAAAACAAAGAUUUAAUGAUUACAUCGUAUUAAUUGGUCCGCGUGGUGUUCAGUAUCUAGUCGAUAUACUGAAGGUCCUUAGCAUAUGUUGACCCGACUCACCAACAACAACAACCACGUUACAAUAAUUGUAAUGUUCACCGGAAGGAAAUGAUUAUUAUAAUAUAACGGUUACUUUCACCGCGACAGUUAUGUUCAUUGUAUAGACAUGCGGUUAUAAUUCCCAUUACAGGAGAGGGAUUGAUUGAUUUGCAAUGUUAGGAUGCAGAAACAUAGUUUUAGUUGAAUUAAUUGUAUCGUUGUGAAGUAGUUUAAGUUGAGGGUAAGGCGCAGGCGGCGCGCGGCCACGAGACUGAACUACACCCCUGCCGUUGCGUCGUCGCGCCUCUUACUUCAUCGUCAUUUUCGCUAAUAUACUUUUUAUCAUUCUUGUUUAAUGAUGGUUCUACUGUUAUUUACAUUACAUUUAAUAUUACUUUCAUCAUGUGUGUAACCAUUUUUUUUUUGUGUAUACGUGUGAGCGGUUGAAUUUAUCGAUUUCAUUAUGUGCAUGAUUGAAUGUAUCCUAAAAACAGCGUCUGGUUUGCGCUAUUUGGAUUUAAUGCGGACUACGUAGCUAUUUUGUUUCAAAAUGGGCGCUGAUUACAUAUUGCAUUACGUAAUAUAAUUUGUUUCACAUUCAAUACAUUGUUUACCUGUUGCAUAGCCUAGUAUCUAUUGCAAAAACAAGCACGAAAAUGUUCUCAAAAUGAAUAUUGUAUGUUACACCCCUUCCACUAUGCAUAUGUAAUAAAGUUUCAUCGAGUCUAAAGCUAAAUGUUUAAUGUAUGUGUACGUGUAUUAAAUGUACCUUGCUAGUAAAAUGGCACGAUAUCGAUGGUUGACUAUAUAGCGUUACGAAAUGACCAUGACGUGGACACGUUUCGCCGUGGUGCACACUGCACUAGAACCAACGAUAUCUGUUAAAUUUUACAUUAGAAUUUGAGAAGUCAUUCUUGCUUCUCAUGUAGUUAUAUGAAGGUUCCGUCAACAGAUUUUUGUUUCCAUUUAAACAGGCAUUUAUCACCGGAAAUUCUUUGAUUUUACUGUUACUUUUAGAACCAUUUAUGAUUGGUAUAAGUUUUGAAACUAAUAACUACCUCAAUAUUACUAAAUGAAUAUGAUAAUUAUCUUUGUGCAUGUUUUUGGGAACUGAAUUUUUAAAACUACGAAAUUUCAACAUAGUAGUAAGAAUGCUAUUAUAAACAUCGUAUCUGAAAAAUUGUCAAAAUUAGGUUUCUUAACGUAAUAAAAGUAAUGGAAAUUGAA